GGUAGAAAACUAUUAAGCAUUAUGGUUUCGGCCCAUAACCAGGGUAUCUAAUACCCUCUACCA
This 63-nucleotide transfer RNA is filed under the name Echyridella menziesii. Its description in RNAcentral is "tRNA-Arg". The record is from RNAcentral. Lineage: Eukaryota; Metazoa; Mollusca; Bivalvia; Unionida; Hyriidae.